Molecule: non-coding RNA, 2657 nt
Organism: Podarcis muralis (Common wall lizard)
Lineage: Eukaryota; Metazoa; Chordata; Lepidosauria; Squamata; Lacertidae
Source: RefSeq, a predicted model, not a curated record
GCGAGGAGGGUGUCCAGAGCCGCCGCCGCCGCUGCCGGAGGAGCCAUGAGGCGGUCGGGGAGAACCCCCUCCACCCCGCCCUCCCGGAGGGCCCCCUCCACCCCGCCAUCCCGCCGGGGGAGACGCCGCGGCGCCUCUCCGCGCAGGCAGCGGGCGCCCCCCGCCUCGCCUCGCCGGGCGCCCCCCGCGGACCAGGCGCCGCGCCCCCGCCGGAGAAGGUUCCGCCCCGGCCAGCGAGCCCUGCUGGAGAUUCGCAAGUACCAGAAGUCCACCAACCUCCUCAUCCGGAAGCUGCCCUUCGCCCGCGUGGUGCGCGAGAUCUGCCUGGAUUACACGCGGGGGGUCGACAUGCAAUGGCAGGCCAUGGCGCUGCUCGCCCUGCAGGAGGCCGCCGAAGCGUUUCUCGUCUUCCUGUUGGAGGAUGCCUACCUCUGUACCAUCCAUGCCAAGAGGGUCACCCUCCACCCCAAGGACAUACAACUGGCUCGGCGGAUCCGGGGCAUUCAUGGCGGCUUGGGCUAGCAUCCUGCCUCCGAGGGAGCAGCGAAAAGGCAACCCGGAGCAUCCCAGAAACUGCGACGUGCUCAGGGACCUCCUUCAGGCUGGGAGCGGCUGGCUUGGACCUAAAAGCCCCUGUCAGGGGGGCAGCACGGCCUCAGCUCUUUGGCUCCCUCCUUUUUUCCGCCUGCUUCCUGCCCCAGCUGCUCCCUGAGAUUUUAAUGCCAAACUUCUCCUGAGUACGUCCAAAAUCCACACAAAAUAGAUGGUUGCAGAUGUUUCUCUAGUGGGGAUUUCCUUUUAGCAGGAACAGUAGUUCAAGAACACCUUGGCUGGCAGCUGUUGAUCAGAGCCUCAGGCAAAUGCAUUAAUGGUACAGUAACGUUUUGCUCCUAAAGUGGAUUUCAGUUCAGUGACUUCUGGGUGGAAAAGUUUUAUUAAGUGGCAUGUUGUGCUGGUUUUAAAAUAGCUCUGCCUGCCCCUACCUCAUCCAAACCACAUUCCCUUUGGGAACACACACAAACGCAAAAGGAAUCCUGAUCGCAGGCAUGUUUUGGACUCUGCCCCACAACGGCCUCCUCUUAAACAGCUCUAAAAUGGAUGCAGAUGAACUUGCUUCACAUUGAACAUUUACUUCACAGCUCUGGAUGAUUCUUGUCAGAGCAAUAAAGUGUUGUCUCCUGUGAAAUAAAAUGGGCAUGAUUCAGGGAAGGGAAGAUCUCUAAACUGAACUAUUCUGUUUCAUGCAAAACUAUGUAAAAUGCUUACUAAUUUGUAUCCAGGGAGAGGUCCUGUUAUGUCACAAUUAUGUGACAUGUUGAGAUUCAGUGUCAUCUUACAUGUCAAUAUACCAUUUCCCCUCUUUAAAACUAAUUGAAGGAAGGGUUUUUUUGUAGUUAGCACCCAAACAACCUGUAGAAUGUUGAAUAAAAGGUAAAAGGUUACAGACACUUGCAAUUUUUUUCCCUACCUCACUGCAGACAGUAUAUACACGAAGAACAGCCACUGAGCAAAGCUUGGUGCCCCUAUGUCUUUGGGGAUGAAUUAUCUGACUAGUGCAGUCCAUGCUGUAUACAAUUCACUUCCAGGGCAGGGCAGUUACGUAUUUGGGCAUGACGCUGGUGUUAUCAGUCCUUAAAUUCAUAAAAGCAAUGUUAGCAUCGAAAUUGGUAGCUUGGUAUAUAUUCUGAAAUAAUAUUCCUGCUCCCAGGGCUCAGAAGAAUGGUGGUUGGCAGUAGUUCCUCCAUGGGGAGUGGCACUGCCCAUUCACAGAUGCACCAUCUUCUUAAUUGCUAUUUCACGUGUUCCAGGACUGUGCUCUCUCAUGGAAAAUAACUUCUGGGUUGAGUCUGGGUGAGUUCUGCCUCCAAUUAAAUUCUGAGAAUAAGUAACAGAUAGCUCUAACCCGACGCACAUUGCCGCAGAAGAGAAAAGUCGGUAGCGUUUAAAGUGUGCUUUCCAAAAUGGUUCUAUUGUCUUACGCAUUUAUAAAAUGGUGUCACUUGCCUUUGCUCCAGAAAUACAUCAGGCUGCUGCGUAGCUAUUUUUCCAAAUAAUUAAUCUUUCCAGUGGAAUAACUUCAAGCCCGACAUUUCCUGUUAUGUUAUACAGCUGCAAUUUGUAACCAGAGAUCCUGCACAGUGUUCUGUGGGCGCCUAGCCAAAUACAUGACACUUUACCUACAGAAGUGCCCUACACAAAUAAUCCUUAACCACAAGUUAAACAGUUAGGCACUGUUCUGGUCCAGCAGAAAAAUGGGGACAAGGAAGCUUUUAAAAAAGCAACCACCCCAAACCCCAGCAACUUUCUUUAAACCUGUGCUAAACAUCCCAUUUUGAUAUUCAAAAUAUUUUAGCUUGUAACAUGGGGGUCUGGAAAUAUCUGCUUUCUGUGAGUGAUAAUUUGUAUUAAAGAGAAAAGCUUGGGAUUGUUCAUGUCACAAAAAUGAUUUUAUUGGCUCAAAUACAUUUUUACGCUUGUUUAUUUUGGUUAAAUGUACAGCUUUUUAGCCAUCUGCAAUCCAGAUGUACAGGUAUCCUAAGACUGAAAUCUAUGCAUGCCUGCUCAUAACUAGAUCCAACUUACUUCCAAGUAAGUAUGUAUAUGAUUGUAUGAUUAAAGCCUAAUAAAUACUGAUGCAUAUUCUUAAAUUUGGUUCA